This 253-nucleotide ribosomal RNA is filed under the name uncultured bacterium. RNAcentral's name for it is "partial 16S ribosomal RNA". It matches the Rfam family "Bacterial small subunit ribosomal RNA", at positions 524 to 776 of the family's 1533-position model. The record is from RNAcentral.
UACAGAGGGGGCAAGCGUUGUUCGGAAUUACUGGGCGUAAAGGGCGCGUAGGCGGCCUUCUAAGUCGAACGUGAAAUCCCCGGGCUCAACCCGGGAACUGCGUCCGAUACUGGAAGGCUUGAAUCCGGGAGAGGGAUGCGGAAUUCCAGGUGUAGCGGUGAAAUGCGUAGAUAUCUGGAGGAACACCGGUGGCGAAGGCGGCAUCCUGGGCCGGUAUUGACGCUGAGGCGCGAAAGCCAGGGGAGCAAACGGG